Molecule: ribosomal RNA, 272 nt
Filed under: uncultured prokaryote
Description: partial 16S ribosomal RNA
Rfam family: Bacterial small subunit ribosomal RNA
Source: RNAcentral
UACGGAGGGUGCAAGCGUUGUUCGGAAUUAUUGGGCGUAAAGGGCGCGUAGGCGGUUGUGAUAGUCAGAUGUGAAAUCCUCCGGCUUAACUUGGAGAACUGCAUCUGAAACUUCAUAGCUAGAGUACAGGAGAGGGAAACGGAAUUCCCGGUGUAGAGGUGGAAUUCGUAGAUAUCGGGAGGAACACCAGUGGCGAAGGCGGUUUCCUGGCCUGAUACUGACGCUGAGGCGCGAAAGCGUGGGGAGCAAACAGGAUUAGAUACCCUGGUAGU